CCUACGGGAGGCAGCAGUGAGGAAUAUUGGUCAAUGGACGAGAGUCUGAACCAGCCAAGUAGCGUGAAGGAUGACUGCCCUAUGGGUUGUAAACUUCUUUUAUAUGGGAAUAACAUGUUCCACGUGUGGGAUUUUGUAUGUACCAUAUGAAUAAGGAUCGGCUAACUCCGUGCCAGCAGCCGCGGUAAUACGGAGGAUCCGAGCGUUAUCCGGAUUUAUUGGGUUUAAAGGGAGCGUAGGUGGAUUGUUAAGUCGGUUGUGAAAGUUUGCGGCUCAACCGUAAAAUUGCAGUUGAAACUGGCAGUCUUGAGUACAGUAGAGGUGGGCGGAAUUCGUGGUGUAGCGGUGAAAUGCUUAGAUAUCACGAAGAACUCCGAUUGCGAAGGCAGUUCACUGGACUGCAACUGACACUGAGGCUCGAAAGUGUGGGUAUCAAACAGGAUUAGAUACCCGAGUAGUC
This 460-nucleotide ribosomal RNA is filed under the name uncultured bacterium. RNAcentral describes it as "partial 16S ribosomal RNA". It matches the Rfam family "Bacterial small subunit ribosomal RNA", at positions 338 to 795 of the family's 1533-position model. The record is from RNAcentral.